RNAcentral lists this transfer RNA (74 nucleotides) under Candidatus Nomurabacteria bacterium RIFOXYB1_FULL_36_10. RNAcentral describes it as "tRNA-Pro". It matches the Rfam family "tRNA". Rfam says of the family: Transfer RNA (tRNA) molecules are approximately 80 nucleotides in length. Their secondary structure includes four short double-helical elements and three loops (D, anti-codon, and T loops). Further hydrogen bonds mediate the characteristic L-shaped molecular structure. tRNAs have two regions of fundamental functional importance: the anti-codon, which is responsible for specific mRNA codon recognition, and the 3' end, to which the tRNAs corresponding amino acid is attached (by aminoacyl-tRNA synthetases). tRNAs cope with the degeneracy of the genetic code in two manners: having more than one tRNA (with a specific anti-codon) for a particular amino acid; and 'wobble' base-pairing, i.e. permitting non-standard base-pairing at the 3rd anti-codon position. The record is from RNAcentral. RNAcentral also lists the same sequence under 2 other names. Lineage: Bacteria; Candidatus Nomuraibacteriota.
CGGGGUAUAGCGCAGCUUGGUAGCGCACUUGGUUUGGGCCCAGGGGGUCGUCAGUUCGAGUCUGGCUACCCCGA